AUGCAAAACGCCGAAGGGAUAAGAUAUCCCCGAUCCUUAUCUCGUGCUUGUGACUCUGACCAUGGCAAACCACUGCCGUUCGUACAGUUACUAUUCCCUGUGGGGAAUUUUUCUAGCCGUCAUCUCCAUUGGUGGUCGGGAACUCCAGUCAGAUGGCACCGCGCCGGGAGGCCCAGGGCCGAGGACCGCCGACGCCGGGAGUCUCCGCUCGCCUCUGGCUGUUGCGGGAGGCUACCUUCGCGCCGAGCAGAACCAGGCCGACGGCCAUGGUUGGUAGCUGGCGUCGCCGUGCUGCGAGAGCGCUGCCGCCAUAGACGGCUGUACCGAGGAAGACCGCGGAUGCGGGCACCACCGUUGGCGUCCAGGAGAAGGGGAGGGAGGGGCGAGGCCACGCCAUGCGUCCAAGGUCGCGUCGCAUCGCCGAUCGCACCGUCGCGCCGUGCAGGGCACCGGCUGUAG
RNAcentral lists this ribosomal RNA (459 nucleotides) under Triticum aestivum (bread wheat). Its description in RNAcentral is "partial small subunit ribosomal RNA". Lineage: Eukaryota; Viridiplantae; Streptophyta; Magnoliopsida; Poales; Poaceae. The record is from RNAcentral.